UUUGCAACAGAUAUUUUAAUCAAAUUCUAUUUACAUAAUGUUUCUGGCAACAGCCUGAUAAAUAGAUACAAAUCAUUUAUUUAAAACAAUUCAAAUACACAUUCCUGUCAAUCCUUAUCCUACAACAAGACAUUUUACCUGCUUUCUUUUUUUCUUUCCAAGUCGUCAAUUCUUUUCAAAUUGUUACAAAAACUGUUGGAAAAAGUGGCUGUUGAAAGCAAAAAUUAGCAAUUGCUCAGUCUACGCUUUGAUGAUUUUAAGUAAGAUUCAAUCCAAUAGGGCAGUUCCAUAUGACAAGUGGUUUCAACACAUAACAAUCUCUAAACAGCUAAAGUGACAAUCAGAACAGGCCUACCUUCUCCAUAAAAAGACUUAAGAUGAGUCAUCACCCCUGAAUUCCAUACAAAACAUGGGUCUCCAUAACAUUUAUAUAGUCCUGAAUAAAAUCACACAUGACCUGAACUAGUUCAAGUGAUACCUGACAGCGGCUUACUAAGUUAUAAUCCUGGUUUCUUUUGAUAACUAUUUUACCCCUUAACCUAAUGAAUUUAAUUACAUCAUUAAUGUUAAACAAUUACCAUUCCUUGAGUACAAAGCACAUAAACCCACAAAAUUUCAUCAGGAACUAAAUUCAAAUUUUACAAAUAAUUCUUCAAAAGGUAUGACCUUAUGAAUUAAAAAUCCAAGGAAUGAUGGCUUUUCUUUUAACAAUUAAAAUUAACAUGCAUGAGUAACUAAUGGUAUUGUAAUUCCUGUGAAGCGUUGAGUUUUCAAUCCAAAUAAAAAGAGAGGAUUUUGUUAGCAAAAUAAAAUGUCAGAAAAAAGAAGAAAAAAUGGAUAUGCCAGUAGUGAAAAAUACUGUGGGAAUAACAGCAAAAUCUCCCUGUAAAUCAGAAAUCAGGUUCAACAACCUUAUUAUAUUAUUUGUGGCUUCAUCAUUAUUAAUGGGAUGCCAAUUUUCAAGGAUUUCAUCAUCAUUGGUUAACCACUAAUUAAGAUGUACAACUAAGAAGAAAUGUUCUAUAAGCUUGUAUGCAAACUCUGGAAAAUCCACGAAAUGAAAUAUCCUCAAAGAUAUGAUUUUUCAUCAAUCCACAAAAAUUGGUAUCCACAUAAAUAAAUGAAUCCACAGCAUUAAAUAAACUUGAAAUAAAAUUCUGUUAUGGUUCCAUUAAUCAUCAGACAAGACUUAUUCAAGGAAUUAAAUUCUAAAAUCCAGUGUAGAAUCCAAAACCUUAGAAGUUUUUAGAUUUAAUACAAUGUAAGAAAACGACUUCACACUUAAAAAUUCUGACGGUCUCUUAAAUCCAGUACGCUAUUUCAAUCUUCAAGUCUCUCACACCAAAUAAUCUUAAACAAAACUCAUUUCUUUUCAAUACACCUUACAUAUCAUCUCUUAGAUGUGAAUAUAUAAAAUACAAAAUUCCCAUGAUAAAAUAUAAUAACUACAAUGGAAAUUAAGAUAUGCAGCACUAAAAUAUAUCAUGAACCAUAUAUACAAAAUUAAUUAGGACAAGGUCUACCAUAACACAUAUUCAUUUGAUGAUUGUAAGUGUAAGGGAACUGCAAAGUAAAUUUGUAAUACUUGUAUCUUAUAUUAUUAAAUAAACAAAUUACAUAAGCUAUGCAAAAAAAACCAAACUUAUUGAUUUAUUAUGAGGGAGGAAGGGGGGUGGGGAGAAAAAAACUACAAGGCUUUUAUAAAAAAGACAAUAUAUGAGGAACUUGCCAAAUGGGGUAAGUAUCAAAUAUGAGAAAAUGUUUUCAAUUAUUUUCAAAAAAAAACAUUUUCAUGUCAAAACUUUCAUAAAUAAAUAAAGUAUAAUAUUCUACACUGAUUAAGACUGUUAUUCCGAACUGAACCACUCAAAUAACUUUGAGUUCACAAAAUCUGUAUGUAAAACUAUUCUAAACAAGUUUUAAAAUGAUCACCUUUUUUUGGUGUCUUCUUCAGACAACUAUAAAUCAUUCUUAACAGUGCAAAUUAGUUUUCUUGUAAAAAAAAAAGCAAAGAAAACAACAAAGAUCAACAAACAGCACAAAAAUACAGAUGUCUAUGAUAGCAUGUCAAACAUACAGGACUUUAGAAGACACAUUGUUAAAGUUUUAUAAUGGAGCCUAUGGUGAAUCUACAUAAUUCCAAAAGUAAAAAGCUACAAGUUUUGUGGCAGUGGCAAGACUAAAUAAUAAAUAAUAAGCACAAUUUCAACACAAAACAUGAAAUCACAAAACAUCUAAAUACCCUAUAAGAAAACACUUUUAAUGCAAAAUGAAAUUUCAUAUUAGUUAUAUAAUAACAUGUUUCUGAGGUAAAAGGCGUCAUUGUAAUAUUUUUUUAAUCUUUUUAAAACCUUGAAAACCUCAUCCAAUUACACUCAAAACUCAUACAAGUGUAUAUUUUUUUCGUCCAUAUGGUCAGGUCAAUUUAAACUACCUUGAGCUCCAUACAUUAAUAUAAUAAACAAACAAAGUUAAGGUAAAACAGCUUGCUUCAAGUGACUUUACCUGAAAUACACUGAGUUCAAUCUUAGUGAUUCUAGUUUAUAAAUUAUUCCAAUUUUAAGAAACAUCCUUCAUUUAAUAAUUUCAAAAUGCAACUGACAAUUUGCAAGAUUUUUUCACACUUGUAUGGUUUAGGUAUUAACCACAUCUCUAUCACAAUAUUUAUUAGCCUCCUAUUAUCAAGCAAAAUGCCCAAGAUGAGUUAGCUAGUGAACAUGAUGAAAUUGUAAGCCAUGUAAAACUGUAAUACAAGUAUAUCUGAUUAUUCAAUAAAAUACACAAUAAAAACUGUAAUUACUUUAUGUACAAUGUGUUAACCUUGGCAGUAACAAACAUUUGUUUGUGUUUUUCUUCCUUUUUUGGAACUAAAGCGUUAUAAACCCAUAAAAUAACAUAUUUGGUGACAAAAAUUGCUAUCACAGAAAGGCUUAUGUAAUUAUGACAUACUGGCACAUUAAGAAUUAUACAAACCAAAAUAAAUUACUUAGGGAUAAACUAUCAAUCAUAUUCCAGUCUUCAAGGACCACUCUUCUUGUAGAUACGGUGGAUUCAUUUAUUUUCUUGGGUACCAAUUUUCGUGGAUUGAGGAAUGCCCAUAUUUUCGGGAUAUUUGAAUUCAUGGUUUUGCCAAAGUCUGAAAAUAAACCUAUAGAAAAUUUGCAAUACAUUGAAAAUUUAAAUUUGUGGCACACAUGUAACCACGAAAUCAACGAAAAUUGAUAUCCAACGAAUAUAUAUGAAUCCACAGUAAUGCAAUCCUUUUCCAAAUUAACAUUUUUUUCUUUGUUCCAGUAUAAAAAUUCAAAUUAGUUUCAACUCAUUUCAUAAGAAUAGCUCUCAACAAGGGUUGUUAUUCAUUAUCUGAAAAUUAGAGGGAUUUUUACAUACUUUGGAAAAUAAAUGAUAAAUACAGUAGUAUGGGUUUAUACAAAGAAUUAAAAAUCUUCUUUUACAAACACUAGGUGUACCUAAUCAAACAAAAUCUGGAAAAUAAAGUGCUAUGCUUCUCUCACAGUGAUAAAAAAUGCCUUGGAAACUUAAGGAAUAGUUUUUAAUUAAAAUCACAUUUACCAUUUUAACGACAUUUUUAAAGUAAGGGAGAGAAAAAUAAAUGUAAAGAGCUCCACAUGUGUAAAACUUUUACACUGCUUUUACAGAGGUAUCUAAGGUUUGUUCACAAAAUUAUAAGACAUAUAAUAUUUCAAAAUAUUGAAAUGCAAUUUGUAUGCAUUAAAUGAUAAUUUGACUUUUCAAAUCUUAAGUAGUUUGUAUUUACAAAGAGAAAAGUUUCAGUCUAUAAUCCAUAAUUUUAAGAAUAAAAAAUUGCUGACAACCAAGACUCAGAAGAUAAAUUUUGAGAGCUCAUUGUCAAUUAAAUUAACUAACUAACAAAAAA
RNAcentral lists this long non-coding RNA (3898 nucleotides) under Mytilus galloprovincialis (Mediterranean mussel). Lineage: Eukaryota; Metazoa; Mollusca; Bivalvia; Mytilida; Mytilidae. The record is from RNAcentral.